UGUACAAUAUAUCACAGCAGCCGGAAGGCAAUGCAUAAUACAUACAUUCAAUAUUUGAAUACUUUGUAUACAUUUUGAACACAUCAUUUAGAGGGGAUAAACUACGGCGGAGUAAAGCAAAAACUGAGAAAAAGAUUUCUUGGAAUGAUAUUUGCUGACUUUUGUUUGUUGCCUGCAAUUGAAAUUGAAACUCAGCGCAUUCAUAAUAUAUAUGUAUAUUAUAAUAUAUAUGUAUAUUAGUGGCAAUUGGCGAUGUUGGAUCAGUUUGCCAGUUGCCUUAAAGCUGAUAACAACGCGCCGGAGAUUUCGAAUUUGUUGCUACAACAUGUGUGAAAGCCGUGAAAUUUUAUUGCAUAAGACCGCAGAGUAUGAGGGGGAGCAGGAGCAGCCCGAGGUGAUCAUUGAUGUUGGCCAGUUGGACGAUGAUAGUGAGGCGAUCUUGCCGCUGACAGAAGAUUCAGAUGCGAAAAGAUUCUACACGUGCAAAGCGAAUAACUUCCUCAAGUCGCUAAGCUGGUCCCAGUUGGGCAUUCUGUUUUGCGUCUUAUACAAUUGUUUUAUUGUUGUCAUAUUGCUAAUAUCGUUCAUACACUCCAGGCUAGAAAAUUAAAUAUGCUUACCAUUGCACAUAA
Molecule: long non-coding RNA, 632 nt
Organism: Drosophila mojavensis
Lineage: Eukaryota; Metazoa; Arthropoda; Insecta; Diptera; Drosophilidae
Exons: 2
Source: RefSeq, a predicted model, not a curated record